UCCCUGAUCUUUGGCAACGGCUCCUCUGCCGUAUGGCCUCUGCCGUUGGCCCACUGACAUGUGGGCCAGGUUCUUGCCGGGCCAACAUGUCAAUGAGGGAACGGCUGGGUGCCGUACGGCAGGGGAUUCUCGUCCCUGAUCUUUGGGCUUCUACAUACAACCGCAUCUAGCAAUCAAGCCAAUGCAAAUUCGCCACCUUCAUCAUGUCGCCAUUCCUGUGUAUAUACAAGAGACACUCAUUCAUCCACGUGUAGGGUGCGCGUGGGACUUGGACGAGAGAUGAGAAGGCCAUGCUUUCUGCGUGAGAGAGUGUUUGCUUUGGGUGUGUGUUUUCUUUGCGUGUUGUAGCCUUCUUCUUCUCCUUCUUCUUUGCUUGUUCUUAGAGAGACGAAGAGGAAAAAGGAUUAUAGAUAGAUCCGGGCACCGCUUGAUGUAGUAGGUACAGCCUCCAGCGUAAAUUCGCUGCCGUCGAGGAGCAGAUCCAAGCGUCGCUGGAUGAGGUGCCACUUGGACAUGGCCGAGGAAGUGCAGGAGGGCGGACGUACGACUUGUAGCAGGAGGGCUGCACUUCGACUCGGACACUAGCUAGAGCAUCAAUCUCCUGUCCUCCUUGCCAUUGGAUGUGAUGCUACAAGAUGUGUGUGCGUUAUCCCAAGACAGAAUAGGUACGUCGAUACCGAAUCCCCGAUCGAUCCAUGGUCGAUAUUGAGAACCCGCCUGCCCCCGGUGCUAGUCCCGACGCAGCGUCAGCGCCGGCGGAGCCCAGCCGGCACGGCUUCUGGGCAUGGAAGGAGAGGUUCGUCAUCACCUACUUCACCUACAACCCUCCCGACUUGGGAGACGACGAGGUCGCGGCCGUGGACGCCGACGAGUGCAGCAGGUGCGGCUUUCUUUGUGUGGGGUUUCUUGCCGGGUUCCUCGUUUUCCUCGGCUCCAUGCUUCUCCUAGUCUUCUUCCACCAGCAAUCCCAAUCGCCAUUGGAUCGGCGGUCUACGUGGCCACGCGCGUCCUCGCCGUGGCGGGCAUGGUUGUCGGGUUUUUCUCCGCCGGCCUCUUUCUUGACCUUUGGGACAGGAUGGAUAAGGGUGAUAAACAUGCAGAGGUGAUUAUAGACAGGAUGAUGUAGAAAUUUUUUGAACAGGUUCCCUAGUAAGAUAUCACUUCAUAUUCCAGACGUACAUCAUUGUUGUGAGGUGAUUAUAGAGAGGCAGAGGUCAUUAGACUUGUUAAUGUAAAUUCAAAUUGUACCAUGUACUCAUCCAUAUAUGCGUUUCUGAAUUGCAUAGUUUUGCUAAACAGAUUACAGAUGUAUGUAUC
Long non-coding RNA from Triticum aestivum (bread wheat), 1317 nucleotides. RefSeq lists it as uncharacterized. The record is from RefSeq and is a predicted model, not a curated record. The transcript is spliced from 2 exons. Lineage: Eukaryota; Viridiplantae; Streptophyta; Magnoliopsida; Poales; Poaceae.